RNAcentral lists this ribosomal RNA (856 nucleotides) under Enterococcus durans. Its description in RNAcentral is "bacterial SSU rRNA". It matches the Rfam family "Bacterial small subunit ribosomal RNA", at positions 50 to 877 of the family's 1533-position model. The record is from RNAcentral. Lineage: Bacteria; Bacillati; Bacillota; Bacilli; Lactobacillales; Enterococcaceae.
UAUACAUGCAGUCGAACGCUUCUUUUUCCACCGGAGCUUGCUCCACCGGAAAAAGAAGAGUGGCGAACGGGUGAGUAACACGUGGGUAACCUGCCCAUCAGAAGGGGAUAACACUUGGAAACAGGUGCUAAUACCGUAUAACAAUCGAAACCGCAUGGUUUUGAUUUGAAAGGCGCUUUCGGGUGUCGCUGAUGGAUGGACCCGCGGUGCAUUAGCUAGUUGGUGAGGUAACGGCUCACCAAGGCCACGAUGCAUAGCCGACCUGAGAGGGUGAUCGGCCACAUUGGGACUGAGACACGGCCCAAACUCCUACGGGAGGCAGCAGUAGGGAAUCUUCGGCAAUGGACGAAAGUCUGACCGAGCAACGCCGCGUGAGUGAAGAAGGUUUUCGGAUCGUAAAACUCUGUUGUUAGAGAAGAACAAGGAUGAGAGUAACUGUUCAUCCCUUGACGGUAUCUAACCAGAAAGCCACGGCUAACUACGUGCCAGCAGCCGCGGUAAUACGUAGGUGGCAAGCGUUGUCCGGAUUUAUUGGGCGUAAAGCGAGCGCAGGCGGUUUCUUAAGUCUGAUGUGAAAGCCCCCGGCUCAACCGGGGAGGGUCAUUGGAAACUGGGAGACUUGAGUGCAGAAGAGGAGAGUGGAAUUCCAUGUGUAGCGGUGAAAUGCGUAGAUAUAUGGAGGAACACCAGUGGCGAAGGCGGCUCUCUGGUCUGUAACUGACGCUGAGGCUCGAAAGCGUGGGGAGCAAACAGGAUUAGAUACCCUGGUAGUCCACGCCGUAAACGAUGAGUGCUAAGUGUUGGAGGGUUUCCGCCCUUCAGUGCUGCAGCUAACGCAUUAAGCACUCCGCCUGGC